Molecule: RNA transcript, 3328 nt
Organism: Zalophus californianus (California sea lion)
Lineage: Eukaryota; Metazoa; Chordata; Mammalia; Carnivora; Otariidae
Gene: MEAF6
Gene name: MYST/Esa1 associated factor 6
Exons: 9
Source: RefSeq, a predicted model, not a curated record
CCUGGCGGGCGGCGGCGCGCAGGGACCGCCCCCAGCCUGGCGCCGCCGCCGCCCGCCUCAGCCCAACAUGGCGAUGCACAACAAGGCGGCGCCGCCGCAGAUCCCGGACACCCGGCGGGAGCUGGCGGAGCUCGUGAAGCGGAAGCAGGAGCUGGCGGAAACACUGGCAAACUUGGAGAGACAGAUCUAUGCUUUUGAAGGAAGCUACCUGGAAGACACUCAGAUGUAUGGCAAUAUUAUUCGUGGCUGGGAUCGGUAUCUGACCAACCAGAAAAACUCCAAUAGCAAAAACGAUCGAAGGAACCGGAAGUUUAAGGAAGCUGAGCGGCUCUUCAGUAAAUCCUCAGUUACUUCAGCAGCUGCAGUAAGUGCAUUGGCAGGAGUUCAGGAUCAGCUCAUUGAAAAGAGGGAGCCGGGAAGUGGGACAGAAAGUGAUACUUCUCCAGACUUCCACAAUCAGGAGAAUGAGCCCAGCCAGGAGGACCCUGAGGACCUGGACGGAUCUGUGCAGGGAGUGAAGCCUCAGAAGGCUGCUUCUUCUACUUCCUCAGGGGGUCAUCACGGCAGCCAUAAAAAACGAAAGAAUAAAAACCGACACAGCCCGUCUGGCAUGUUUGAUUAUGACUUUGAGAUUGAUCUGAAGUUAAACAAAAAACCACGAGCUGACUAUUAGAAGACUCAUUAGUGCAGAAGCUUCCAGGCUGUAGAGCCCUGCUUCCCUCCUCCAACCUCACAAAGAUACAUAUCCCUCACCUGAGUGCGCGGCCAUCCACCUCUGCUUUCCCAGACCCAGUGCCUGUGACUCUGAAUAGUCUGUUCUGAAACGUGGUGACAAGUCAUUUCUGCAUAUGGAAAGGCUCAACAUUGCACCCAAAGCUGGUAACGUUACGGAGUUCUGGAGCAGAGGGAGAGAUAGGAUCUGCGAGAGCUGGCGAUGCCCAGCAGACCCCCUUCCUCACAGGGCCGGCCAGGCUGGGGAACUUGCCGAUUUGUUGAACUGUUACCUGCCUCUAGAGUGGUGCUCGAUCUCGGCUGCUCAUGGGAGUCAUCUGGGAAGCCUAAGGACCUACUGAUACCUGGGUCCCACCCCCAGAGACUCCGGCUGGGGGACAGUCUAGUGACUGGGAUUUCCGUCCAAAGAGUCCCUGGGAUUCUGAUAAGAAGCCAGGUUGAGAACCACUGCAUGAGGAGUGUUUGAUUGAAAUCCUAUGUUGCGAAUCAGUCUAGGGGUUAAGAUUUGGGGCCCCAUCUUUCCUUUGAUGCUGUCUAGUCAUAGUCCUUGACUUAGGCCCAUAUCUUUGUUAGAACAAAUAUGUUCCAUUGUGAUAAUAUUGGUAGAGCUGAAUACGGAUGGUGUCUGUUAGCAAAACGAGUCUACCUUGUCAGAUGUGCAAAAGCUUUCACUCCUGUUCUCAAAUAAACUUUUUUUUUUUUUUUUUUUUUGGACUCUGUGGCUAAUUAGAUGUCUUUGGUAGCAGAACUCUAAUGUCAGGGUUUUUAAGAAAAUAGUUUCUUAUAUUUAGAUUGUUCCUUAAAAAAAGAGAAAAACAAUUAUAAAGCUAAAAACCAUGGGGACCAGAAGACAUCUCUUCCCUCCUUUGUCAGUUUCUCUCCUUUCCUGGGAGAGAGAAGUGGGGCUUCCUGUGGUCUCCGUGGCCUAGAGGAGAGCACAGAGCAAACCUGAGAAUAUUUCUCUCAUAGUUUGACAUUUGCUUGAGAUCUGGUGGGAUUGCUCUUAAAAAGCUGUAUUAUGUAAAAACAUACCUGUGUAUAUGAAUACACACGUAUGUCUGUGAUCAUGGUUAGAGGUAGGCUGCUUGCUUUAUACUUAUUUUCUCUGUAAAGUUUUCAAUCAUUGAUUAAGGGACCUCCAAAGUUUUCCUGUAAGCUGGCCACAGACUGAGGAUAUUUAAGUCUCAAGAGACUGCUUAUGUUCUCUAAAUUGGGGAGGUUUAGGCAGAAACCCCAAGAGAUGCCUACCAUGCUUGUGAUAUUUGUCACUUUGGUUGUUAACUAAGUUUGUCUGACAAACUUACACGUGACCAGUGACCCUGCCAGAAUGGCUGCCAGGACCCCUUCUAGGCAGGCCUUCACCUGAUUAUUGGGGUUGGGAAUAGUAUUUUGCUUUAGGCCUUUAGCCUUCUCAUCUCCACAAUGGGAAGAAGUUGUCCUUCGCUCCUGUUGGUGGUUAUAAGACAUUUAAAAAAAUCCAGGCCCUUGGAAGUUCUAUUUCAUGUCUUCUUCUGGGACGAUGGUUACUGUACAUGGCUCCUGAGGGAGUCUUAAGUAUGCUUGCUCUUCCAGGGGCUGAGGAAAUCGUUUAUUUUGUUGAAACGCCAAAUGUUCUAAAUAGCAUCAUACCCUGCAACGGAAGAUGGAGAGCAGGGACAACCCGCAGAGGAGAAGACCAGCAGCACUGUGGGGCCAACGGGAGGGCCUGAGAGGGAAGGGCCGGUGUGGGCCAAGAGCACGGGCGUUCAGAGCUGCUGUCCGUGUCUUGGGGGCCUCCGGAGUGCUUUGAGAAAUGGAGCCUUUGGGUGCUCUAGAAUAGUCUGUAAGUAUCCUACAAGGAGGAUUGUCGAUACCUUGACCUGUGUGAUAAAUAAGGGAAUGGAAACAAGUAUUUAAAUGGCCUAACUUUGAAAGGAGUAAAUACGCUGUUCUGAAACACUGCGACUUAGUUUUUGCUUCUAUUCUGACUUCUCUGCCCCUCGGCCUCGCUCCCAACUACUGAGGCGUGACUGCGUGUAAAAAUGCACGUCUGCAGCCCGCUGCCAGGGCCACUGCACGGGGGCCGAGUGGAGCGUGCGCGCGAGCGUGCAUCUUUGUAUGCACGUCCUUCCCCGGCUGCUGCCCUGCUCGGGGCCUGGGAAGGUGCCUGAGGAGAAGGCACUGGGCCUCUCAUUCCUGUGUUCGUGUAAAUGUUACCGUGUCUGAAUUUUCCAAGUGAAUUGGGUUCAGGAUUGGAAACAAUUUUCACUUUGGAACACUCCAUCUGUAGAGUAAAAGUUUUCACUGCUAAGAUGGGCUGUGGUGUUGAUUCCGACCCCUGCUUCAGCACAGGGCGGUGGUCCCCAAGGAGGAGGGUGUGGAGGAUGGCCCAUGGCUUGGGAGGGGGUUGAGGGGGCACAUAUCAGGCCUUCAAUUUGUAUGUAUUUUCUGACUUAGCCUUUUUUAGUUGUCACUUUGUGUUAUAUAACAUACAUAAAUAUUCAUUAGUACAUGUAGAUACUUGAUAAAUAAACGUUAGGUUGAACCACAAGCAGUUGCUGCACUUCAGCCGUUUUGAUCUUCAGAACGGGCAUUUAUCCUGAUUUAACAACAUAUA